Molecule: ribosomal RNA, 441 nt
Filed under: uncultured bacterium
Lineage: Bacteria
Description: partial 16S ribosomal RNA
Rfam family: Bacterial small subunit ribosomal RNA
Source: RNAcentral
CCUACGGGAGGCAGCAGUAGGGAAUGUUGCGCAAUGGGCGAAAGCCUGACGCAGCAACGCCGCGUGAUUGAUUAAGCCCUUCGGGGUGUAAAGAUCUGUCAGUGGGGACGAAACUUGACGGGACCCACAGAGGAAGCACCGGCUAACUCCGUGCCAGCAGCCGCGGUAAUACGGAGGGUGCAAGCGUUGUCCGGAAUCAUUGGGCGUAAAGAGUUCGUAGGUGGCAUAUGAAGUCUGGUGUUAAAUGCAGACGCUCCACUUCUGUUCGGCACUGGAUACUGGUAAGCUGGAAUGCGGUAGAGGUAACGCGAAUUCCUGGUGUAGCGGUGACAUUCGUAGAUAUCAGGAGGAACCUCGGUGGCGUACGCGCUUUACUGGGCCGUACUUGACACUGCGGCACGAACGCCGGGGUAGCAAAUGGGCUUAGAUACCCUUGUAGUC